This 291-nucleotide long non-coding RNA is filed under the name Mytilus galloprovincialis (Mediterranean mussel). The record is from RNAcentral. Lineage: Eukaryota; Metazoa; Mollusca; Bivalvia; Mytilida; Mytilidae.
AACUAUUUAGGGAGCUACCAUUUGAUUUUUAUGGGGGGGCUAGGAUGAAAUUUGAAAAAAAUAGGCAGGACAGGAAUUUUGAGUAAAAAAAAAGGCAGGAUGAGACACUUGCAAAAAAAAAAAGUCAGGAUGACAUUUUAGGUAAAAAAAGUCAGGAUAAACUAAAAAAAAAAGAAGGCAGGACCGAAUAGAGUGAAAAAUAAAAAGGCAGGACAGAGAUUACAACUAAAAAAAAAUGCAGGACAAAAUUUUUCAUCCUAGCCCCCCCCCAUAAAAAUCAAAUGGUAGCUC